GUUCUCUCCGAAAUAGCUUUAGGGCUAGCCUCGAGGUAAAGAGUCAUGGAGGUAGAGCACUGUUUGGACUAGGGGCCCUUCUCGGGUUACCGAAUUCAGAUAAACUCCGAAUGCCAUGUACUUAUACUCGGGAGUCAGACUGCGAGUGAUAAGAUCCGUAGUCGAAAGGGAAACAGCCCAGACCACCAGUUAAGGUCCCCAAAUAUAUGUUAAGUGGAAAAGGAUGUGGGGUUGCUUAGACAACCAGGAUGUUGGCUUAGAAGCAGCCACCAUUGAAAGAGUGCGUAAUAGCUCACUGGUCGAGUGACCCCGCGCCGAAAAUGUACCGGGGCUAAACAUAUUACCGAAACUGUGGAUGAACCUCUUUAGAGGUUCGUGGUAGGAGAGCGUUCUAAGGGCGGUGAAGUCAGACCGGAAGGACUGGUGGAGCGCUUAGAAGUGAGAAUGCCGGUAUGAGUAGCGAAAGAAGGGUGAGAAUCCCUUCCACCGAAUAUCUAAGGUUUCCUGAGGAAGGCUCGUCCGCUCAGGGUUAGUCGGGACCUAAGCCGAGGCCGAUAGGCGUAGGCGAUGGACAACAGGUAGAGAUUCCUGUACCAGUGCUAAUUGUUUAACCGAUGGGGUGACACAGAAGGAUAGGGAAUCGCACGAAUGGAAAUGUGCGUCCAAGCAGUGAGUGUGAGAAGUAGGCAAAUCCGCUUCUCGCGAAGCAUGAGCUGUGAUGGGGAAGGAAAUUAAGUACGGAAGUUCCUGAUUUCACGCUGUCAAGAAAAGCCUCUAGGAAGAGUAGUACUGCCCGUACCGCAAACCGACACAGGUAGAUGAGGAGAGAAUCCUAAGGUGAGCGAGAGAACUCUCGUUAAGGAACUCGGCAAAAUGACCCCGUAACUUCGGGAGAAGGGGUGCUCUAUUAGGGUGCAAGCCCGAGAGAGCCGCAGUGAAUAGGCCCAGGCGACUGUUUAGCAAAAACACAGGUCUCUGC
Molecule: ribosomal RNA, 979 nt
Filed under: Listeria monocytogenes
Lineage: Bacteria; Bacillati; Bacillota; Bacilli; Caryophanales; Listeriaceae
Description: bacterial LSU rRNA
Rfam family: Bacterial large subunit ribosomal RNA
Source: RNAcentral